Molecule: small nucleolar RNA, 74 nt
Organism: Impatiens glandulifera
Lineage: Eukaryota; Viridiplantae; Streptophyta; Magnoliopsida; Ericales; Balsaminaceae
Product: small nucleolar RNA snoR64a
Exons: 1
Source: RefSeq, a predicted model, not a curated record
AGUAUACCCUAAUAAUCUUAUAUCAAGAUUCAUUUGGGUAUUAUGAUUUCUACUUGUAUAGGAAGAUCUGAUGC